This 68-nucleotide transfer RNA is filed under the name Lachnospiraceae bacterium. Its description in RNAcentral is "tRNA-Phe". It matches the Rfam family "tRNA". From Rfam's summary of the family: Transfer RNA (tRNA) molecules are approximately 80 nucleotides in length. Their secondary structure includes four short double-helical elements and three loops (D, anti-codon, and T loops). Further hydrogen bonds mediate the characteristic L-shaped molecular structure. tRNAs have two regions of fundamental functional importance: the anti-codon, which is responsible for specific mRNA codon recognition, and the 3' end, to which the tRNAs corresponding amino acid is attached (by aminoacyl-tRNA synthetases). tRNAs cope with the degeneracy of the genetic code in two manners: having more than one tRNA (with a specific anti-codon) for a particular amino acid; and 'wobble' base-pairing, i.e. permitting non-standard base-pairing at the 3rd anti-codon position. The record is from RNAcentral. Lineage: Bacteria; Bacillati; Bacillota; Clostridia; Lachnospirales; Lachnospiraceae.
CGGGAGUAAGCUGUUGGAAAGCACACUUAGAAAUAAGCGUUUGAUGGGUUCGAAUCCCAUACUCCUGA